Molecule: long non-coding RNA, 352 nt
Filed under: Olea europaea (common olive)
Lineage: Eukaryota; Viridiplantae; Streptophyta; Magnoliopsida; Lamiales; Oleaceae
Description: long non-coding RNA (OEUR_LNC012757)
Source: RNAcentral
GUGGACAGUUGAAUCAUGAAGCAUAUGCUUGGGCACAUUCAAGGCCUCCUUAUUAAGAACAACAGAAAAUAAGUAGGUAAUUUCAAAAAUAAUCAAAUAUGUGUUUGUAUUGUGUUAAAUUAAGAAACAAGUUUUCAUAUAUAGAUAGAGAUGUUGGGAUGUUCUAUUGAUCUUGAGAUAAGAGGCCUAAAAAUCUUUAUCUAGAGCUGAAUGUCGAAAUAUUGGAUGUUGUAGCCAGAUUGAGCAUUGCUGUCUAUGUAUGUAAAAUAUUGAUCUUUCAUUUUUCUUCUAUCUUGAUUUCAAUAAAAAUAUGUGUUUUCUGCAAUAAUUUUCUUGUCGAUAAUUGUGUUUU